GCCACAUGUGAUUCAAGCAUCUUUCUUCUCUUAUUUUUUUUCUAGUUUUUAUACUAUGAGGAAUUACAAAGGCCCGCAUUUUCUCUGUACCAGGUAUUUACGACGAUUUCAUCUUACGUGGAAUUAGCGUGCCCUGCUUUUUUUAUUUUUUUAAAUUUCGUCGUAAGUUUCUCGUUGGCUUACGACUCCUUUACGAUGAUUUCGUCUUACGUGGAAGCGUGCCCCGCUUUCUUUAUUUUUUUUAUUUUGUCGUAAGUUCCACGAUAUUUUACGAGGAAUUAAUGAGUAUUAUGUUUAAAUCCCUAAAAUCCAAAACCCCAAACCCCAAACCCCAUCUUCCUUAUCUUCUACUUCAUAUAUUCCAAACCCCAAACCCAUCUACCCUUGAACCUCAAUCUAUACUUUCACCUCAAUCAAUUCUUUCCAUUCCAAACCACAGGUCCUUAUUCAUAAAACAAACUCCCACAUUACCUUAUUAAUAAAACAAACUCUCACAUUAUCUUAUUCAUAAAACAAACAACACAAAAUCAAAUACAUCAAUCGGAUACAUCAAC
Molecule: long non-coding RNA, 554 nt
Filed under: Brassica rapa (field mustard)
Lineage: Eukaryota; Viridiplantae; Streptophyta; Magnoliopsida; Brassicales; Brassicaceae
Description: long non-coding RNA (BRAP_LNC006860)
Source: RNAcentral